AAACGGGUUCGAACACAGGCAUGCCCUAGUAACGGCGAGUGAAGCGGCAACAGCUCAAAUUUGAAAUCUGGCGCAAGCCCGAGUUGUAAUUUGUAGAGGAUGCUUCUGGGCAGCGGCCGGUCUAAGUUCCUUGGAACAGGACGUCAUAGAGGGUGAGAAUCCCGUAUGCGACCGGCUUGCACCCGUCACGUAGCUCCUUCGACGAGUCGAGUUGUUUGGGAAUGCAGCUCUAAAUGGGAGGUAAAUUUCUUCUAAGGCUAAAUACCGGCCAGAGACCGAUAGCGCACAAGUAGAGUGAUCGAAAGAUGAAAAGCACUUUGGAAAGAGAGUUAAAAAGCACGUGAAAUUGUUGAAAGGGAAGCUCACGCAACCAGACUUGUCGGCGGUGUUCCGCCGGUCUUCUGACCGGUCUACUCGCCGCCGGCAGGCCAGCAUCACUUGGGAGCGCCGGAUAAAGGCGUGCGGAAUGUAGCCCCUCGGGGCAUUAUAGCCGCGCGCACAAUACGGCGCCUCCCGAGUGAGGUCCGCGCUUUGGCUAGGAUGCUGGCGUAAUGGUUGCUUGAGGCCCGUCUUGAAACACGGACCAAGGAGUCUAACAUCUAUGCGAGUGUUCGGGUGUCAAACCCCUACGCGGAAUGAAAGUGAACGGAGGUGGGAACCGCAAGGUGCACCAUCGACCGAUCCUGAUGUCUUCGGAUGGAUUUGAGUAAGAGCAUAGCUGUUGGGACCCGAAAGAUGGUGAACUAUGCCUGAAUAGGGUGAAGCCAGAGGAAACUCUGGUGGAGGCUCGCAGCGGUUCUGACGUGCAAAUCGAUCGUCAAAUUUGGGUAUAGGGGGCGAAAGACUAAUCGAACCAUCUAGUAGCUGGUUCCUGCCGAGCCCCCCCCCCCAGGAAGAACGCUCCAAGAUCGUUUCGAUAAGUUCAUUCGCCCCUAUACCCUAAAUCUGACGAUGGAUGUGCAGUCGAACCGCUCGAGCCUCCCCACAGUUUCGCUUGGCUUUCAUUAUUCCGGGCGAAGUUUACACCUAUGGGGUCUCACAGCCACGUGUCCUUCACCAAUCUCUCAAAACAACUUCACGGAAUGGCGUGAAUGGGUGCACACUUGGGGUGCCACUUCAUAUUCACUCGCGCCAGAGAGCUGGUUAUCCGACUCAUGAGACGUAUUUAGUGAACGACU
This 1178-nucleotide ribosomal RNA is filed under the name Hortaea werneckii. RNAcentral's name for it is "partial large subunit ribosomal RNA". It matches the Rfam family "Eukaryotic large subunit ribosomal RNA", at positions 56 to 1135 of the family's 3401-position model. The record is from RNAcentral. Lineage: Eukaryota; Fungi; Ascomycota; Dothideomycetes; Mycosphaerellales; Teratosphaeriaceae.